AAAAAAGAGGAUCAAAAUGAAUAAGGCCAUAACUUAAGAGACUAAAACCACUAAUCUUUCCUUUAUGUUAGGUAUCUUUCCCCGUAAAAAGAAAAAAGAAUCGCCGCCGUCAGUCCCUCCUUCCACGCGCCGCCGUGCCGCGAGUGUUCCACACCGACUGUUGUUCUCCGUAACUGUAAGUCUAUUUUUUUUUUUUAAAAUAAAAUAAAAUAUUUCAGGCCUUAUUUUUAGUUUUUAAUUAUUUUGCUUGUCUCUCUGCCAAUACAAAUUGGAGUUGUUUUGGAAUUUUUGUGAGUGAAUUGGAGUGAUGAAAACAACUUUUUGGAGUUUUUCGAAGGAAAAUUGUAACAAUUAUAUGUCCAAACAGUUUAUAUGCCCAUAAACAUGUAUUGUAUGGGCAGACAGUGGCGGAUCCAGGAUUUUUGUUGAGGGUGUUCGAAAAAUAAAAAUGUUGUGCUUGGAAUUUGAACUUGGAUCUCAAGGUAAAUUAUGAACCCCCUAAACCAUUGAGUCAACCUCUAGUCUUAUUUUUAGGGUGUUCAAAAUCUAUAUAUGCACAUUAGAAAAAGAAAAAAAAGAAAACUACCUUAUAUAUACCGUGAAAUUUUUUGCCGAGGGUGUUCCGGAUAACCCUUGGAUAGGAAGGUGUGGAAGUCGAGGAUUAAGGUAGAUGGUUAGUAGGUACUAGAAGUGUUAUCUUACUUUUAGUCGUAUGUUUUAGGGUAGUCAUGUAGUUUUUUUUUCGCUAAUGUGUAUUGAUAUAUGUUAUUGCAUUUUUGUACUUUUGCUAUUUUUGCCGUCCCUUUUUCUUUUCUUAAGUUUCUGCAUCGGUUACAUUUCUUUUGAGCCGAGGGUCUAUCGGAACAGCCUCUCUAUUCCAAAGAUAGAGGUAAGGUCUGCGUACAUCUUACCCUCCCCAAACCCCACUUGUGGGAUUACACUGGGUAUGUUGUUGUUGUUGGUGUUCUGGAUAACACCUAGAUACGCCCCUGGGGGCAGACACAUAUUUUGAAGUGAUUUGUGAGACUUUUUUUGCUGUUGCAUUAUCCCUGUUCCAUUGGUAUGUAAUUUGUAUGGUUAUAAUCAUCAUAUUGGUGGCUACUCAUUUGCAUGAAUAGCUCUCAUUGAAUUAGACCAGAGUUCUGUAUUUGUGGUCUAAAAUGUUUAUGACAUCCUGAAACAAAAAUGCCAAAAGGAAAGUUAAUAUAUUUGUGCACUACAUUGAAAGGUUAAGCUGCAUAGUUUUAAUUUUCUGAAAAACUUAAAUACUUGUGUUGUAAAUUGUAACAAUCUUUCACCUAUAUCCUUCCAGUACUGGAAAGAUCCAGGUUUCUUUAAGGACAUUAUGCAAAUUUGGUGUCUGUACUGUCAGAUGUGAAUGGGGAAAGUCAUUAUAAUUUCAUAUUUUAGUGUAGAUAGUAUUCAUGUUUUUCCUCCACAGUAUAGUCAAAAGACCACAAUUUUACCAAGGUAUUACAAGUUCAAAUUACUGACAUAUCUAGUCAUAGAUUUUUACUACAAUGUUAUACAUGUGAAAGGAAAAAAGAACAUAUUUCUCUUUUCCAUUCAAUUCCCUCUUUCUCCCAUUAAACUAUACAUCAUUAAAGUCCACAAGUACAAUCCAGUUCAAAUUAAUUCAUGUGUUCGAAUCCACAGAUGUCCAGAUUUGUUGCAGGCAUUAAACCAAUUAGUGCAUAUAUGUUGGUUUAUAAAGGGUUUAUCAUUUAAGAUGAUUAAGUGAUAUCUGUUGUUACUGUUUAAUCAUGAGAAAUUAGUUUGAUUUGAUGCAUACAGUGGAUCGAAGUAAUUUUUCUCGUAAGUCGAUUGGCUCAGUUGGCCUUCGCAAACAUAUGAAAUAGAAAUUAAAAGAUAAAAACCUUACAUCCUUGCAAUAAUGCUUAAAAAGGUUUUACUUCUCCCCAUCAGGUGCCUUCAACUGCACGCCAAAGAAAGAUGAAAGAACAGAUGGCUAUAUUAGGGAAUAAUAGGAUUGAAGAUGUUCGGUGGCUUUGUUCCUUAACCGAGUCUGAGCUUGUUUGAAAGUUCUAAUACAACAACGUGCCAAAAAGAUUCGUCAUGAGUCUUUAGCUAACAGGUUUGAUUUGAAGACCCUUCGAGCCCUCAGUUUCAUUUUAAUGGAGAAUCUUAAAGGAAAACUCAAAGAUCUACCUGGU
This is a long non-coding RNA of Lycium ferocissimum, 2174 nucleotides long. RefSeq lists it as uncharacterized. Lineage: Eukaryota; Viridiplantae; Streptophyta; Magnoliopsida; Solanales; Solanaceae. The transcript is spliced from 3 exons. The record is from RefSeq and is a predicted model, not a curated record.